RNAcentral lists this ribosomal RNA (584 nucleotides) under uncultured bacterium. RNAcentral's name for it is "partial 16S ribosomal RNA". It matches the Rfam family "Bacterial small subunit ribosomal RNA", at positions 355 to 931 of the family's 1533-position model. The record is from RNAcentral.
CGGGGAAUUUUGGACAAUGGGCGAAAGCCUGAUCCAGCAAUGCCGCGUGUGUGAAGAAGGCCUUCGGGUUGUAAAGCACUUUUGUCCGGAAAGAAAUCCUUGGCUCUAAUACAGUCGGGGGAUGACGGUACCGGAAGAAUAAGCACCGGCUAACUACGUGCCAGCAGCCGCGGUAAUACGUAGGGUGCAAGCGUUAAUCGGAAUUACUGGGCGUAAAGCGUGCGCAGGCGGUUUGCUAAGACCGAUGUGAAAUCCCCGGGCUCAACCUGGGAACUGCAUUGGUGACUGGCAGGCUAGAGUAUGGCAGAGGGGGGUAGAAUUCCACGUGUAGCAGUGAAAUGCGUAGAGAUGUGGAGGAAUACCGAUGGCGAAGGCAGCCCCCUGGGCCAAUACUGACGCUCAUGCACGAAAAGCGUGGGGAGCAAAACAGGAUUAGAUACCCUGGUAGUCCACGCCCUAAACGAUGUCAACUAGUUGUUGGGGAUUCAUUUCCUUAGUAACGUAGCUAACGCGUGAAGUUGACCGCCUGGGGAGUACGGUCGCAAGAUUAAAACUUAAAUGAAUUGACGGGGUCAGCUGUUCCU